This is a transfer RNA of Catenulispora acidiphila DSM 44928, 72 nucleotides long. It matches the Rfam family "tRNA". From Rfam's summary of the family: Transfer RNA (tRNA) molecules are approximately 80 nucleotides in length. Their secondary structure includes four short double-helical elements and three loops (D, anti-codon, and T loops). The record is from Rfam. Lineage: Bacteria; Bacillati; Actinomycetota; Actinomycetes; Catenulisporales; Catenulisporaceae.
UCCGCCAUGGGGUAAUUGGCAGCCCAGCAGACUUUGGAUCUGUUUGUCCAGGUUCGAGUCCUGGUGGCGGAG